ACCAAACAUUUUUAGGGUUCUUUUUACUGAGGUAUCCAAGUUUAUUUUUUUAUAAAUCUACAUAAAGUUGUUUAUUUGUUUGUUUUAUUUGUUUAUAUAUUGCAGACUAAUUAUAUCACUCAAAUAUGACAACAAGUGCUGUCAAAAUGGUGAUCACAGCUGUUAAAAGUCAACAAUAAUCUAACAAUGUUCAUACAAAAAAAAUCCUAUCAUACAAAAAUAGGAUCUUAGAAUUCAAAAUUUAAAUAAACUCUAAGCGCUCAUUUAAAUAGCCGUUUAGGUUUUCAUCAAAUGUUUUUCUUUGGUUCUUGAGUGGUAACACAAAAAAAUGCUUAUGAAGGUAAAUAUGAUGCAAAUUUGUUUAGUUUUAGGCCUGUGUGACCAUGGACUAUUUCCAACAGAAAGGUUUUUUAUCCAGAUUUAUAGGAGCUGACACGUUCUACUUCUAAAUUGUAGGGAUAAUCCGUAAGUCAUUUAGUCAAUUAGCUCGUGCUAUUCCUCAUUCUUCCCCACUGUCACAGCAGCUGACAAAAAAUUCUUACAACCAAUGUGGAACACUUUUUAAAUAUUAGAACAGAAAACAAAUAGGAAAAGAAUUAAGUGCUUAGGCGUUAAACUUAUGCAUGGGUGCUAAAGUUAUGGUGUGUUUCAUGGUAAUUUGAAAGCUCUACUUAGACUAGUUUGACACUUUCGUACAUAACAUCAUCAUAUAAUAACGGACGGUGCCUGUAGGGGGCGGAGCGGCCCGUCGUGUUACCAUGUGAGAGAGGGGCGCUAUUAGGUACUUGAAAUGAAAGAACAGAAGAAUUUCUUUCCAGUUCAAAUUCGAGGGCAAAAUUUCAAUAAUUCUUGAAAAUGUCAAGUUUUUGUUUAUGAGAGGGUUAAACAAAUUCCACCCAUGUACCAAGCUAGACUGGGUUAAGCCCAACUACAUUAUCGGGGAAAAGGAAACCGGGCAACGUUUCAUUUCCCCGACUAGCAACCCGAUGUUUUAACCUGGUGUUAUAUUUUCCCGAUUUUUUUGUAAAAUUUUAUUAAAUAAAUUUUGAACUUACACAGAGGAGUGACUUUCUCUUACGUAACAGGUUCGAAAGUAUGUUUUUUGUGAGCAAUAAAAAAUUCCUUGCGGGAAAUUUCACUUGGCGUCACAAUUUUCUUAUUUAGUACUUCCAGCUGGGAAACUGUCGGACCUAUUCACUUGUCACCAAAUUGUCGCCUCACAUGACAAAUUAUUAGUUUAACCCCUGUUUAAGCUUAUCAGAACUUCAUAACAUUUAUCAACGCAUUAUUUCAGCAUAAUACGCCUUCGACCAACAUAAAUAAAAAUUCACGUGUCUAUUUCUUUUCAUCAUGAAAAGUUAUGAGUAAAAUAAACACAUGAAGUUGGCAAGAAAAAUCAUUCACGCUGGAUAACGUGAAGAUAUGAGUAAUAGAAAAUAUACAGAAUUAAGGAACAAUGUAGAGGAAUGAGAUUAUAGGAUUUUCAGAAUUUACAAAAGCAGCGACAAGACUGUUCAUUCACCAGUGGGAACAGCUAAAAAGGAUAACAUAUACUAUUUAUAGAUUAUAUUGACGUCUAAAUUUAUCAAAUAAACAAAUAUAGCGAAGAAUAGAGAAUAUAAGUCUCCUGGAAACAACUGAGCAAGUAUGAGAUUGACAGACGCCUGAUAUAAGCCGUUGUUUGGAUUGUGCUAAAGCUCUGUCAAUGUACAAAAAAAACGAAGUCGGAUGCACACGUUUUUUGUAUGAGAAAAUUAUGUUUGGAAAAAAGCCUUAGGAUUUUUUUAUUAUUUUUUAUUUGAAAGUCUAAAAAUUUCCCUUAAAGAUUUUUAGAGAUAACAAAACAUAGUAACCCACGUAAGUACGUCUUUCGAGGAAGUAGAGAAAAGAUGGGCCAAUAAGGUGUAUGUUAAUGAUGUGAUAGUGGUCCGCUAAAACGAGCCAUACUUGCAAGUCUUCUGGUUCGUAUUGUGAACAAGAAACACCGGGAUAUUUUUAACAUUUCUUCUUUAGUGCAAUUUCAAGUAAAUAUAGUUCCAUGUCGAUAAAAUUUCUCUAUCUUGAACUUCUCUCAACCCGAUAGACUACUGUCUAAAUAUUUAGCCGUUUUCUAUUUCCACGAACAGAAACAUUUUGAUGAGGCUGAAAAGAUAAUUUUCUUAAAAAACGAUCCAUAACAUCCUUAGUGCUCCUAAUAACUCCCGUCCAGACAAGGAUGCAUGAAAUAGCGAUACGGGGAAAUAAGUACGUCGGGCGAUUGAUCCCCCGCUUAUAAAAAUUCUUGUACAUUUAAAAAUUUAAAAAAUGACCUAUUGCUUUUAAAAUGUGGAUUUAUUACAGUUGCUAAAGAAAACAAAAUUGUCAAAAAUAUUGUUUAGUUGUGAUUUGCAUGUAAAUGAUAAUAUGUCGUUAUUUACGUUUUAUCAAACCUUACCUGAUAAUUAGCAGUAUGAACCCUAGAAAGAAGAAGAAACCUAACAUUAGCAAAGCAAAAAAGGACAUGCAUCUGUUCUCUCAACUCCCCAUUUUGAGCAGAGUAGUCAGAAGUUAUUUUUUUCUCCUCUCUUUGCGUGCGAUGUACAUUAUAUAUGACUUAGCGACUCCAGCUCACACAAUUCCAUGAUUUUGUUGUUUUUCUUUUGAUCCAUGUAAAGUGUGUGCAGUUGAUACGAAAUAGAACACACCAAAAAAUGAUGCAACAAAAAUGAUGUAAACAUUUUACAGCGUAAUGUCUAAGUCUGGUUGCCUAGGAUAUAAACAAAAAAACAUGUGAAAACACUCGAGGUUGAUUUGACUCGGGAUUUCACAAGUUUUGGAAUUUUAAACUUAUCUACAUUGAUCUUCAAAUAGGAUGGAUUAGAAAUUUCACAUGUAUAAGCCGAUGAUGAGAGGACAGGCAGACAAAAUGUAACAACGUAAUAAUACGUUAUCUAACCGUGUCUGCACUCGUUCUUUUAUCAAACAAAAUCUUUUACAAACGAUCAUUUAAAUUUUACACAGGAACAAGGAAAACUGAUAGCCUCACAAUGCUUGUUGACAGCCAUUAAUGACAUGUUAAGAUCACGUUUGAUAACUGUUGACACAAACAAGACAAACAACUUUUUACACACGGAGAAAGCUUCGCGCAUGCUGUAAUUAACUGUGAUAAGUAAGACCGUUAUCUCGAUAACUACGCUAGAUUAUUUUAAAAAUAGCAUGAUUAUAUUUUGAUAAGCUAUAUACAUAUUUUAUCUGACAUUUCAGCGAUUGUCUGUGUUUGUUGAAGAAAAGAUUUACUGUGAGAUGAAAAUACGCGUGUUUGUCAAGUUCGGCGUCAAUGUCUAAGUUCUUAUCACCUAAUUUGAUUGAAGGAUUGUUCCUAUCUACACAUAAUUGACAGCAAGCACAAAAGCUUUCUAACUAACUUAUUUGUGUUCAUAUCACAGACGGCAGUGGUGACAUGGUGAAAUGCUGAAUAGCGGUUGAUUUACGUCGAAAAAACCUUUUAACAACGACCGCCUAUGAUUCAUAUCUCUUCGACAUCCAUGACGCAAUUUCAAAUCUGUUUCAACUACUAAAAUUUAAAAUGGUAUAUCUUUCUAGUUUUACAAUUUACAAACCACAUAAAAAAGAUAAUGUGUUUGGUUAAAAAUGCAGAACAAGUAAAGGAAAGAUAGAAUGCCUAAUCUCGCUAUAUAGUUGUUCUUAAUGUUUUACAUUUUAGAAUUUAAAAAUGUUAUUUUAGACUUGCACAUCAGCACCCAAAGUGUUGCAAAGAUGGUGAGAAUCGAGUGGGUUUUCAGACAUUUUAAAAAAUAAGCGGUCGUUUGAUUCUUUAAAUAAAGUUUUGAAAUAGAAAUUCGUGUACAGCGACGAUUCUUUUUAACUCGUCCUAAGGCCUAAAUUCUUCUUAAAUCAUUAGAGAUUUACUUUUUAA
This is a long non-coding RNA of Hydractinia symbiolongicarpus, 3916 nucleotides long. RefSeq lists it as uncharacterized. NCBI's taxonomy places the organism in Eukaryota, Metazoa, Cnidaria, Hydrozoa, Anthoathecata, Hydractiniidae. The transcript is spliced from 2 exons. The record is from RefSeq and is a predicted model, not a curated record.